GGGAUGGUGGCUCAGUGGUAGAGCACUCACCUAAUACCGGAGGGGCCUGAGUUGGAUUCUCAGCCCCA
Molecule: transfer RNA, 68 nt
Filed under: Ictidomys tridecemlineatus (thirteen-lined ground squirrel)
Lineage: Eukaryota; Metazoa; Chordata; Mammalia; Rodentia; Sciuridae
Description: Spermophilus tridecemlineatus (thirteen-lined ground squirrel) tRNA
Rfam family: tRNA
About the family: Transfer RNA (tRNA) molecules are approximately 80 nucleotides in length. Their secondary structure includes four short double-helical elements and three loops (D, anti-codon, and T loops).
Source: Rfam by way of RNAcentral